Small nucleolar RNA from Cairina moschata (Muscovy duck), 77 nucleotides. The record is from Ensembl. Lineage: Eukaryota; Metazoa; Chordata; Aves; Anseriformes; Anatidae.
CUGUCGGUGAUGAUCCAGCCGUCGAGCUGCUGUGUCUGGGCCACUGAUGUCCGUGAUGGAGCUGAGGAUCUGAGCAG